UUAGAUACUUAACUAUAUUAAAUGUUGUUUAAAUAUGACAAGAAGCUGGAACAACAACCAACCAUUCCAGAAAGUCCCCAUAUGUAAUUUUGAAUUUGCUACACAUGUGCCUAAACACAAUUUUAGAGUUGGUAAACAAGAAAAUAAAUGCUACCAUGCUAUUCUACACGUUUUUCUAACCAAGUUACAUAUGUGAAACAUUUUAAUUGAAGCUACAGUUAAUUAGUUAUGGUGAAAACCAUUUUAGCAUGGCAUCAAUGCGAAUUAAAUUAAAACAAUAAGUUAAACAUUUUAAACACAUGUGAAAGUUGGAUAUUAUGAAAUUACACAGAAUUAUAAGCAUGUUACAUAUCUAAAGUUUUUACAUGCGGCGCUCGAUUUAUUAAUUAUGAGCAACGAAAAAUGUAUGUUUUUUCUGUAAUUAAAAAAUUCUUUGCAUAAUUAAAAAAUCACAGAACGUGAAAAGAAAAAUGAUUAUGGGCCAAAUCUGCUAGAGCUAGGCUGAAAGUGUGUGUGUACAAAAGGAAAAAAAUAUGGCAAUCUUGGGGGGGGNGGGGGGGGGGGGGGGGGGGGGCUUGGAUUGGCUAGUACUCUGUUCUGAUAUUGCACAGGAAUUUCUGCAAAUGAAGCAGCAGUUCACCAAUGUGCAGAUCAACAAAACAGGGCAAAAAAUUAUUGCAACACCUCAGAUUGGAACCCCAGAUCUCUUAGUUGAACAACGACCGAGCAAACAAACUCGGCUACACAAUAUUAAUGAUAAAAAUCGAACAUGCUACACAACUAGAACGAGGGCUAAAACGUCAAGCUUAGCGAAGGACNN
RNAcentral lists this long non-coding RNA (820 nucleotides) under Hordeum vulgare. RNAcentral describes it as "long non-coding RNA (HVUL_LNC009897)". The record is from RNAcentral. Lineage: Eukaryota; Viridiplantae; Streptophyta; Magnoliopsida; Poales; Poaceae.